GACGAACGCUGGCGGCGUGCUUAACACAUGCAAGUCGAACGGAGAAGCUCCAGCCUGCUGGAGUGGACCAGUGGCGAACGGGUGAGUAACACGCGAGCAACCUGUCCCUGACUCUGGAAUAUGCGCUGGAAACGGCGGCUAAUAUUGGAUAUGAGAAGGUUCAGCAUGGGCACCUUUUGGAAAGGACGUCGGUUGGGGAUGGGCUCGCGGCGUACUAGCUUGGUGGUGAGGUAAUGGCUUACCAAGGCGACGAGGGGUAGCCGACCUGAGAGGGCGAUCGGCCACACUGGAACGGAGACACGGUCCAGACUCCUACGGGAGGCAGCAGUAGGGAAUCUUCCGCAAUGGGCGAAAGCGUGACGGAGCAACGCCGCGUGAGUGAUGAAGGUCUUCGGAUCGUAAAACUCUGUUAUUAGGGAAGAACAAAUGUGUAAGUAACUAUGCACGUCUUGACGGUACCUAAUCAGAAAGCCACGGCUAACUACGUG
This 488-nucleotide ribosomal RNA is filed under the name uncultured bacterium. RNAcentral describes it as "partial 16S ribosomal RNA". It matches the Rfam family "Bacterial small subunit ribosomal RNA", at positions 28 to 507 of the family's 1533-position model. The record is from RNAcentral.